AGAGUUUGAUCCUGGCUCAGAACGAACGCUGGCGGCAUGCCUUAUACAUGCAAGUCGAACGAGAAAGUCACUUCGGUGGCGAGUACAGUGGCGCACGGGUGAGUAACGCGUAGAUGAUCUACCCUUCAGUCUGGGACAACUCUUGGAAACGGGAGCUAAUACCGGAUAAAACCUUCGGGUUGAAAGAUUUAUCGCUGGGGGAUGAGUCUGCGUACCAUUAGCUUGUUGGUGGGGUAACGGCCUACCAAGGCGACGAUGGUUAGCGGGUCUGAGAGGACGAUCCGCCACACUGGAACUGAGACACGGUCCAGACUCCUACGGGAGGCAGCAGUAGGGAAUAUUGCGCAAUGGGGGCAACCCUGACGCAGCAAUGCCGCGUGAGUGAAGAAGGCCUUCGGGUCGUAAAGCUCUUUUAUGGGGGAAGAUGAUGACGGUACCCCAUGAAUAAGCACCGGCUAACUACGUGCCAGCAGCCGCGGUAAUACGUAGGGUGCGAGCGUUGUUCGGAAUUACUGGGCGUAAAGGGCGUGCAGGCGGAUUGGCAAGCCGGAGGUGAAAGCCCGGGGCUCAACCCCGGAGGGUCUUUCGGAACUGCCAGUCUUGAGAGGGUCAGGGGCCAGCGGAAUUCCUGGUGUAGAGGUGAAAUUCGUAGAGAUCAGGAGGAACACCGGCGGCGAAAGCGGCUGGCUGGGGCCACUCUGACGCUGAGGCGCGAAAGCGUGGGGAGCAAACAGGAUUAGAUACCCUGGUAGUCCACGCCGUAAACGAUGGGCACUAAGCGUCCGACGGGUUCGACCCUGUUGGGUGCUGCAGUUAACGCGUUAAGUGCCCCGCCUGGGGAGUACGGUCGCAAGACUAAAACUCAAAGGAAUUGAC
This 876-nucleotide ribosomal RNA is filed under the name marine metagenome. RNAcentral describes it as "bacterial SSU rRNA". It matches the Rfam family "Bacterial small subunit ribosomal RNA", at positions 8 to 914 of the family's 1533-position model. The record is from RNAcentral.